RNAcentral lists this ribosomal RNA (263 nucleotides) under uncultured bacterium. Its description in RNAcentral is "partial 16S ribosomal RNA". It matches the Rfam family "Bacterial small subunit ribosomal RNA", at positions 793 to 1055 of the family's 1533-position model. The record is from RNAcentral.
GUCCACGCCCGUAAACGUUGGGCACUAGGUGUGGGGCUCUAUCGACGGGUUACGUGCCGAAGCUAACGCAUUAAGUGCCCCGCAUGGGGAGUACGGCCGCAAGGCUAAAACUCAAAGGAAUUGACGGGGGCCCGCACAAGCGGCGGAGCAUGUGGCUUAAUUCGAUGCAACGCGAAGAACCUUACCAAGGCUUGACAUGCUGGGUAAUCCGUGGAAACACGGUGAUCCUUCGGGAUCCAGCGCAGGUGGUGCAUGGCUGUCGU